Macrostomum lignano is the source of this 4219-nucleotide non-coding RNA. The record is from Rfam. Lineage: Eukaryota; Metazoa; Platyhelminthes; Macrostomidae.
UGACCUCGGAUCAGACGUGAUUACCCGCUGAAUUUAAGCAUAUUAUUAAGCGGAGGAAAAGAAACUAACAAGGAUUCCCCUAGUAACGGCGAGUGAACGGGGAAGAGCCCAACACCGAAUCCCUUGGCGCAAGUCAACGGGAAAUGUGGUGUUAAGGUAGCCCUUCGUGUCAGUCUAGGCGUCUCAAGUCCCACCUGAUUGUGGCUCAAGCCAGAGAGGGUGUAAGGCCCGUAGAGACGCUCCGACUGAUUCCUGGGGUUUACCUACGAGUCGGCUUGUUUGGGAAUGCAGGCCAAAGCGGGUGGUAAACUCCAUCCAAGGCUAAAUACUGGCACGAGUCCGAUAGCGGACAAGUACCGUGAGGGAAAGUUGAAAAGAACUUUGAAGAGAGAGUUCAAUAGUACGUGAAACCGCUUAGAGGCAACGGAUGGUGCUCAUACUGGCCUGAGGAAUUCAACUGUGACGGUGGCUGGACGAGCUGGCGUUCCGAUCUCUCUUUUGGGACGGGCGUCGGUUUGGGCUAUCAGCUCUGACAUGGUGCACUUUCCUUGGUGGCCUCCGCCACGACCGACGACACUGGCUAACCGCGGCUGGGGUAAGGUGACAAAACUGCUUCGGCAAUUUGUGUUAUAGACCCCGGCGUUCGGACAUGGUUUGCGCCAGGACGUCGAGCUUGCGGCGCGCGCGCCGCUCCUUGUGUGGCUCGCCAUGUUGGCUAGCUUGGCUGCGCCGCGAUGCUUGCACUGGACAACGCAGUACACAGGUGACGGUUGUGGGUCUUGUCUCUAGUUGGCCUCUGCGAGUUUGGGCGCCUAUAGUCUCGUGGCUGAUACUUGUGGGUAGGACUAUCCGCACCCGUCUUUGAACACACGGGUCCAAGCGAGUCUAACACUACCGUGCGCGCGAAGUCAUCGGGGCUUCUAGUCGAAACACCAAAGGUGCGCAGUGAAUGGGAUUCUAAGAAAACCCAGUUAAAGGCCUGCUUCUCGAAAGUAGGCUGCUUGUAAGCUGAGGUGGGAUCUCGUGCAUUCGCGAUUGGCGGGCGCACCACCAGGCCCGUCUAUCUGUCUCUAGUCAGUGCGGGCGGGUUUAAUCUGAGCGUACACGUUGGGGACGGCCGAAAGAUGCGUACACGGUUGACACCGAAAAGAUGGUGAAACUAUGCUUGCGCAGCUCGAAGUCAAGUGGAAACACUGAUGGAGAGCGGCAGCGUUUCUGACGUGCAAAUCGAUCGAUCCAAACGUUGAGUAUAGGGGCGAAAGACCUAAUCGCAACCAUGGCUAGUAAGCUGGUUCCCUCGCGAAGUUUCCCUCAGGAUAUUGAUAGCUGGCACUACUCGCCGGGAAACAGUUUUAUCCGGUAAAUGCGAAAUGAUUAGAGAUCGCAUUGGGGUCGAAAACGACCUCGACCUAUUCUCAAACUUUAAAUGGGUAAGAUGCUCGUCCUCGCUUAAUUGGAGGCGGGCUUCACCUCUCUAACGUGAAUUGUGAGUGCCCAGUGGGCCAUUUUGGUAAGGCAGAAACUGGCGCUGUGGGUGAUGAACCGCAAACGCGCGGUUAAGGCGCCCAAUGCGGAACGACAUCAUGAGACACCGACAAGAAGGUGUUGGUCGAUACUGACAGCAGGACGGUGUGCCAUGGAAGUCGGAACCCGCUAAGGAGUGUGUAACAACUCAACCCCUGCCGAAUCAACCAGCCCUGAAAAUGGAUGGCGCUGGAGCGUCGGGCCUAUACCACGUGCCGUUGGGGCGAAGCAGACAAAUAAUCUGUGUGGAGGAAUGUCCUCCCAACGAGUAGGUGCAGGGUCGCCGUGGUGAGCGCAGCAGAAGGUGCGGCCGUGAGGCCGGCUGGAGCCGCACGGGCGCAGAUCUGGUCGGUAGUAGCAAUUAAUCAAGUGAAGAACCUUUGAGGACUGAAGUGAAGAGAAGGGUUCGGCAUGUGAGAACAGAGCAGUUUGAACAUGGGUCAGGCGCCGUCCUAAGCGAUCGGGUAACUCGCGUACCUAAGACGACUAAGCGAGGGUGACAGAACUAUCACUUAACUAAAUUGUUUUCACGUGGUUAUAGCCCUCCGGAGCGAAAGGGAAUCGUAGUUAAAUAUUCACGACCCUUACCGUGGAGAUCGCCCCUUUCGGGAGGGCAAGUGCGCGGUAACGCAAACGAACACAGAGACGACGCACGUCGGCUGGAGGGCCGCCCCCGGGAAGAGAGUUCUCUUUUUCUUAUGUGUAAGGAGCGUACCCCUGGAAUCGGCUUGUCCGGAGAUAGGGGCGUGGCUUCCGCUAAAGCAGCGCGGGUCUUGCGCUGUCCGGUGCCACCUAGUCGGCCCUUGAAAAUCUGUGGGAGACAGUGUGAUUUUCACGGUAGGCCGUACCCAUAAAUCGCGCAGCAGGUUAUCUCGCAAGGUGAACAGCCUCUAGUCCUAGAAACAAUGUAGGUAGGGAAGUCGGCAAAAUGGAUCCGUAACUUCGGUGGAAAAGGAUUGGCUCUGAGGGCUGGGUCGGAUGGGCCUGGCGUAAGAAAGCUAGUGUUGCCGGCGUUUUUUGGUGAGGACUGUGGCGCGAGGCAUUUCGGCUUUACUCGGACCAUUGCCGAGACCAGGCAGUAGACGACGUCAGCUGUGCUGUGUCGUGUUUCGGCGGCGGCAGCUUCGUCCGGCAACACAAACAGCCAACUCAGAACUGGCACGGACUAGGGGAAUGCCGACUGUUCCUAAUUAAAAACCAAAGCAUUUCGAUGGCUGUUGCUCGGUGGUUGACGCAAUGUGAUUUCUGCCCAGUGCCUCUGAAGUCAAAGUGAAGAAAUUUCAAUCAAGCGCGGCUGUAAACGGCGGGAGUUAACUAUGACUCUCUUAAGGUAGCCUAAAUGCCUCGUUCAUCUAAUUAGUGACGCGCAUGAAUGGAUUAACGAGAUUCCCACUGUCCCUAUUCUACUAUCUAGCGAAACCACAGCCAAGGGAACGGGUGGCAGAAUCAGCGGAGGGAAGACGAGCUUUACGCAGGACAUCAGCGGGGAAUGUGAGCUUGACUCUGACCCCUGUCCGAGCUUGUACUGCUAGUAAGCCCGACUUUGUCGAAUGAGAACAUGAGAGUGUAGUAAGUAUAGGUGGUGAGCGGAGCAGUCAGCGACUUUGAAAUACCACUACCUUUUAAUCGUUUCUUUACUUUUAUUAUUCAGUGAAGCGGAGCGGCCUUCACGGGCGGCCUCGUUUCUGUGGUGUUAAACGGCUGGCCCUCGCGGCCGGCCGUGACCUGCCUUCUGAAGAACAGUGUCAGGCGGGAGUUUGACUGGGGAGGCUGUACAUGGGUGUCGGUACAUCUGUCAAAGUAGGUAACGCAGGUGUCCCAAGAUGAGACUCACGUCAGGACAGAACACCUGGCUCGUAGAGCAAAAGGGCAAAAGCCCUCACAUUUGAUUUUGAUUCUUCAGUACGAAUACAGACCGUGAAAGCGCGGGCCUAUCGAUCCCUUUGAUUUAAUCAGAGUUUGAUGCAAGGGGUGUCAGGAAAAGUUACCACAGGAUAACUGGCUUGUGGCGGCCAAGCGUUCAUAGCGACGUCGCUUUUGAUCCUUCGAUGUCGGCUCUUCCUAUCAUUGUGAAGCCAGAAUUUCACCAAGCGGUUGGAUUGUUCAUUCCACCAAUUAGGGAACGUGUGAGCUGGGUUUAGAGCGCGUCGUGAGACAAGCAGUUAGUUUUAGCCCUACUGAUGUCUUGUCGUUGCUAUGGUAAUCGCCUGCUUAGUUACGAGAGGAACCGCAGCGUUCAGACAUUUGGUGUUAUGUGCUUGGUCGAAAGACCAAUUGGUGCGAAAGCUAACCAUCUGGUGGAGAAGAGAUAAUCAAGACUGAAAGCGACUCUAAGUCUGAAUCCCGUAAGUCUGAAUCCCUGCAACGCGGAAAUCAACGAUACUAUCGGUGCCCCUACGCCGGGAGGCAACGAUAUAGUACUCGCCCGAAAUUCCGAUUCCGGCGGCCGAGGACUGGCUAAAAGCACUUGCCGAAGAUACUGGCCGACACCCGCGCUUGUCAUUGAAAUUUAUUUGGCAGUGUGGAGGCACAGACACGAUACCACUUCGAUUGAGACGAAUCAGGGGUUCGUAUGAUUCGUUCUAUUAUCGUUUGUAGACGACUUAGAUCUCGUCGGGGUGCCCGUACUUAGUUUGAGCAGUUCUUUCACUUGCGAUCUAUUGAGGCUCAUUGCCUGCUUUACGGUCCUUUGUGA